Molecule: non-coding RNA, 5722 nt
Organism: Oryctolagus cuniculus (rabbit)
Lineage: Eukaryota; Metazoa; Chordata; Mammalia; Lagomorpha; Leporidae
Source: RefSeq, a predicted model, not a curated record
UUCCCCUGACCUUUUUUAGUAAAGGAAAACAUUUUCAUUGGAUUGUAUAAACCACUGGCUUGGGGCCAGUGUUGUGACACAGUGGGUUAAGCCGGUACUUGCAACGCUGGCAUCGAUACCAGAGCACAGAUUGAAUCCCACUUCUUCUCCUUCUCCUUCUCAUUCUCCUCUUCCUCUACCUCCUCCUCCUCCUCCUCCUCUUUCUUCUUAAAAUUUUAUUUAUUCAAAAGAGUUACAGAGAGAGGUAGAGCCAGAGAGAGAGAGAAAGAGGUCUUCAUCCACAGGUUCGCUCCCCAAAUUACUGCAGAGCUGAGCUGAUCUGAAGCCAGGAGCCAGGAGCUUCUUCCAGGUCUCCAACACGGAUACAGGGGCCCAAGAACUUGGGCCAUCUUCUACUGCUUUCCCAGGCCAUAGCAGACAGCUGGAUCAGAAGUGGAGCAGCUGGGAUUUGACUGACACCCAUAUGGGAUGCUGGCACUGCAGGCUAGGGCUUUAACCCGCUGCGCCACAGCACAGACCCCCCCCUAUUCCACUUAUGAUCCAGCUCUCUGCUAAUGUGUUUAGGAAGCAAUGGAAGAUUGUCCAAGUACUUGGGCUCCUGUCAACUUAAUUCCCUUAAAAAACUAUUUAAUUAUGCAAAUAAGAUUAAUCACAUCAUCAAGAAGCGAGUUACCUGAGUUGGCUAUUUAGCAGAUUGUGUUAUUUCAGUGUCUACAGAGAUGUGACUAUCUCUAAGAUAAAAGCUCAACUUGUGGAGUGCAGGUUAGUUUUCCAGAAUGUGGCCCCCGCCCCCAGUCCUGGACAUCCCAGGAGCCCCGCAUGCAUUCACAGGGCUCACACUACACACACCUGCUGCUCUGAACAAGUGCACAUCAAGCCACAUGAGUGUUUUGCACCGAGGGCUCCUCACAUACACUCAACACUCUUCUUUCCUGUCCUCCUCACUCCGAUCUGCCAAAGCCUCACAGAUAACACAACUGAGUCAACUAAAAUAGUUCCAAGUUCUACGGCACUAAGGUCUAUAAGGCACUUGUCCACUUAAGGCAACGACUUCCAGUGCCUACCGGGAGAAAGGACAUUUUUAUGCUGUUCUCUGCGUGUCUUCUUUUCCAUGAUAGAUCUGUUAUCAGUCCCCAUUAAUUCAUGGUUUCUCCAUUUUGUGGGUGAAAAGAAGCAGUUUCAUUUGGGUGAUGUGUGAAGUCUUUGAUGAGAGUGUUUACAAUAAAGCUUUUUAAAAAAAUAUGUAUUUGAAAAGCAGAGUGACAGAGAGGGUAGAGUAACAGAGAGGGAGAUGAGAGGGAGAGAGAGAAAGAGAGAGAGAGACUCUUUCAUCCACUGGUUCACUCCCACGUGGGUAGCAGGGCCCCAAGGGCUUUGGCCAUUCUCUACUGCAUUCUCAGGCACAUUAGCAGGAAGCGGGAUUGGAAGCAGAUCAGCCAGGACUUGAACCGGUGCUCCAAUAUGGGGUAUAGUUUUUGCAAGCAUUAGCUUAACCCGCUGUGCCGAAACACUGGCCCCAGUACUUUCAGAUUUAGAUAGACUAAUUUUUUUUACUCCAUAAAAGCAACAUGUAAGAAUUUGGGGAAUUGGGGGAUAUGUUAGUACAAAAGCUACCUGUUUAGAAAGUAUCAGGAAACACCUUCCACCUUUUCCUACAAUUUGUUCCAUGCUAGCCAAGACAGCCAGUAGUGGAUGGCGACCGUUUUCUAUUUUCCUUUUAUGUUUCAAUUGUCUUUAAUAUAAUUGAUACUAGAGGGGCCAGUGCUGUGGCAAGUCGGUUAAAGCUGCAUCCUGCAGUGUUGGCAUCCCAUAUGGGUGCCGGUUUGAGUCCCAGCUGCUCCACUUUUGAUCUAUCUCUCUGCUAAUGUGCCUGGAAAAGCAGUGGUGAAUGGCCCUAGUCCUUGGGCCCCUGCACCCACAUGGGAGACCUGGAAAAACUUCUUGGCUCCUGGCUUCAGAUCAGCUCAGCUCCGGCCACUGCGGCUACCUGGGAGUGAACCAACAGAUGGAAGAUCUCUCUUUCUCUCUCUCUCCCUCCCUCUCUCUCUCUCUCUUUAUCUAACUCUGCCUUUUAAAUAAAUAAAAUAAAUCUUUAAAAAAUAGUUGAUACUAGGAGAAACUCAUUCCUUUUUGGCCUUGAGCCUCAAUGGCAACAUUAAUUUAGUUGGCUUAAUACUUUCCAAAGAAUGAAAUUAUCCCUUGGACAAAUAAAAGAAGUUGCUAGAAAACAAAAUUAUCAAGGCAGAGUUUUAAUUUCCCAAGACGGAAAAAUAGAAAUUAUUUUGUGGAUGUUUUUUCCCGAAGUAUAAAGGUAUAAAGUUAAUUGGGAGGGUCCAGCGCUGUGGUGUAGCAGGUAAGCAUUUGCUUGCAGUGCCAGCAUCCGAUAUGGGUGCUGGUUUGAGUCCUGGUUGAUCUACUUCUUAUCUUGCUCUCUGCUAUGGCCUGGGAAAACAGAAGAUGGGUCCAAGCCUUUGGGCCCCUGCAUCCUUGUGGGAGAACUAAAGGAAGCUCUUGGCUCUUGGCUUUGGAUCGGCGCAGCUCCAGCUGUUGCAGCCAAUUGGGGAGUGAACCAGUGGAUCGAAGACCUCUCUCUCUCUCUCUCUCUCUGUAACUCUGACUUUGAAAUAAAUAAUAAAUAAAUCUUUCUUUUUUAAAAAAAUUUUAGGCCGGCGCCGUGGCUCACUAGGCUAAUCCUCUGCCUUGUGGCGCCGGCACACUAGGUUCUAGUCCCGGUCAGGGCGCCGGAUUCUGUCCUGGUUGCCCCUCUUCCAGGCCAGCUCUCUGCUGUGGCCAGGGAGUGCAGUGGAGGAUGGUCCAAGUACUUGGGCCCUGCACCCACAUGGGAGACCAGGAUAAGCACCUGGCUCCUGCUUUUGGAUCAGCGCGGUGCGCAGGCCGCAGCGCACCGGCCAUGGCGGCCAUUGGAGGGUGAACCAACGGCAAAGGAAGACCUUUCUCUCUGUCUCUCUCUCUCACUGUCCACUCUGCCUGUCAAAAAAAAUUUUAGACAAUCUAGUGAGAUUGUUAUUUUUUAAAGAUUUAUUUAUUUGAAAGUCAUAGUUACAUAGAGAGAGGAGAGGCAGAGACAGAGGGGGAGAGAGAGAGAGACAGAGAGAGGUCUUCCAUCUGAUGGUUCACCCCUAAUUGGCCACAAUGGCCAGAGAUGCGCCAAUCUGAAGCCAGGAGCCAAGAGCUUCUUCCAGGUUUCCCACGUGGGUGCAAGGCCCCAAGGACUUGGGCCAUCUUCUGUUUUCCCAGGCCAUAGCAGAGAGCUGGAUCAGAAGUGGAGUAUAAAGUUAAUUGGGAGGGUCCAGCGCUGUGGUGUAGCAGGUAAGCUUGAACCGGAGCCCAUAUGUGAUGCCAGCGCUUCAGGGCAGGGAGUUAACCCACUGUCCCACAGCACCAGCCCCAUAAGUAAAUCUUUCAAAAAAAAAAAAAAAAAGAACCCCACCCUGGUUAAAAUGCCUGCUCCCAUGUUGUACUGCUUGGGUUCCAUACCCAGCUCCGGCUCCUGACUCCAGAUUCCUGCUGAUACAGGCUCUGGGAGGCAGCAGUGUUGACUCAAGUCAUUGGGUUCCUGGCAUCCACACGGGCGACGCAGCUUCAGCACAGCUCAGUACUUGCUCUUGCAGGCAUCUGAGGAUUGAUCCAGCAGAUGGGAGCUUAGCUGCCUGCCCUUCCUCCCCUGUGUCAUCAGUGCCCCCUCACACAGGGUCAGUCCUGGUCUCCAGUAUCCUACACCUUAUCUACAACCCCACCCCUCAGAGCAACCCCAGAGCCCUUGAGGCUGACACCUGUGCCUGCUUCCCUCUAGUGAGGGGUAGCGGAGGGGCAGAGGUACAAGUGAGCUGCUUUGCAUUGCUUGAAAGCCCCCACGGCCCCCUGUGGUCCCCUGCACCAAUAUCUGGGUGGCUGACGAGGAAGAGAAACCCACUCACCCCCAGGUGCACCCUCCACUCUGCAUGCUCCUUCCCAGCGCUGCGUCUGAUUGGUGGUCGGUUCUCAGCACCUCCUCCACUCCACCCACUGGCCCCGCCAGGGGAGUCCCCAUCACCUCUGACCUUGCGUCGGGUGCCAGCGGCCUCUGUGUGGGCACACCCCACAGUCUCCUAGGUCAGUCAGCCGCCUCACCUCCACCACCUCCUUCCUGUCUGACCACGCCCUCCUGCCCGAACUGGCUUCUCUGGGUUCCUGGGCCAGACAUGCUCCAGUUCUCCCUCUUUAGAGUCUGUUCCCAAAUGAACAUCUCAGCCUUGACCCCGAUCUGCUGUAUCACUGACCCAGCAACUUGAAUUUCAAGAAAUUUUUUAGUUAAAGAAUUUAUUAUAUAUAUUUAGUUGAGAGGCAGAGAGAGAGCGAGAGAGAGAGUGAGAGAGCGAGAAAGAUAGCAGUCAUAUACUGGUUCACUCCACAAAUACCCACGACAGCUGGGGCCUGGGCUGAUGCCAAGAGCUAGGAACCCAAUCCGGGUCUCCUUCAUGAAUGAUAGGAACACAAUUCUUUCAGCCAUCGUCUGAUGCCUCCCUGCACCGGCAUGAAUCUAGAACAAGAGCCAGAGGCAGGACCUGAACCCACGCACUGCAAUGUGGGAUGCAGGUGUCAUUUUUUUUUUAAAUACCAAUUGCUCCCUUAUCUUUGAAUGUAUUUCACUAACUUUUUUUUUUUAAGAUUUAUUUAUUUAUUUAUUUGAAGGCAGUUACAGGGAGGCAGAGGCAGGCAGUGGAUAUCUUUCCAUUUGCUGGUUCACGCCUCAGAUGACCACAAUGACCGGAGAGUCACCAAUCUGAAGCCAGGAGCCAGGAGCUUCUUCUGGGUCUCCUACGUGGGUGCAGGGGCCCAAGCACUUGAGCCAUCUUCUGCUGCUUUCCCAGGCCGUAGCAGAGAGCAGGAUCGGAAGUGCAGCAGCCGGGACCUGAACCAGCGCCUAUAUGGGAUGCAGGCACCGCAAGCAGCAGCUUUACCCACUUUGCUACAGCGGCGGCCUCCAGACGUCAUUUUAACCACUAGGCCAAAUGCUCACAUGAGCAGAUUCUUUUCAAAUUUUUUCAAUUGUUUUUAAAAUUUAUUUUGUAUUUGAAGGCGCAGGAGGGGUGGGGGAGAGGGGAAGAGAGAGAGAGCUUCCAUACGCGGGUUCACUCCCCAAAUGGCUGCCAUGGCCUAGGGCUGGACCAGGCGCCAGGAGCUUCAUCUGGGUCUCCCACUUGCAGGGACACAAGUGGUUCCGUAAGGGAUGCUGGCAUCGCAGGCGACGGCCUAACCUGCUAAACCUCGCCGCCGGCCCUGUCUUCGCUUUUUGAUUGGUUGGUGCCCUUCCGCAUCAUCCAAUCAGAAUGAGUCUCCGGGACCGCCACCUUAACACCGAGGCUAUAAAUAGGCCGCUGAGCUUCCCCCUCGCCAUUUUCUCCGCGAGGCCCGGCUUUUCUGUCCUUCGGCCAGGGGUUGCGCGGUCACCUAACGGCCGUGCGGGGCUCCAGCCCCGAUCCCUGGAUCCCUGGACAGGACGGCAGCGGCGGACGCCGGCGGGAAGGGCGGGCCCGCGGCCGUGCGCCAGGGAGUUGAAGCAUCCUGGUUGCAAGAAUACAGAACCCUGCCACAUGACUGUUUCUGGUGGCUUUCUUCCUGAUUGCUUAAAUUGGAAACCAGGACCAAGAACAUUGGCCCAUCUAUCCAAGGGGGUAUAACUCAGUGAUGAAAAUCAUUGAGCAAUCAAGCCACAAAAAGG